RNAcentral lists this ribosomal RNA (877 nucleotides) under uncultured bacterium. RNAcentral describes it as "bacterial SSU rRNA". It matches the Rfam family "Bacterial small subunit ribosomal RNA", at positions 96 to 953 of the family's 1533-position model. The record is from RNAcentral.
UGGCGCACGGGUGAGUAACGCGUAGGCAACCUACCCUUGUGUUUGGGAUAACAGUGCGAAAGCGCUGCUAAUACCGGAUACGAUUUUCUGACGGGAGUCGGGGGAUGAAAGUCAGCCUCUCGAAGAAGCUGACGCACGAGGAUGGGCCUGCGUCCUAUCAGCUAGUUGGUAGGGUAACGGCCUACCAAGGCGACGACGGGUAGCUGGUCUGAGAGGAUGAUCAGCCACACUGGCACUGGAACACGGGCCAGACUCCUACGGGAGGCAGCAGUGAGGAAUUUUGCGCAAUGGCCGCAAGGCUGACGCAGCAACGCCGCGUGGGUGAUGAAGGCCUUCGGGUCGUAAAGCCCUGUCAGGUGGGAAGAAAGGCUUGGGGGUGAAUAGUCUUCGAGUUUGACGGUACCACCAGAGGAAGCACCGGCUAACUCCGUGCCAGCAGCCGCGGUAAUACGGAGGGUGCUAGCGUUAUUCGGAAUUACUGGGCGUAAAGCGCGUGCAGGCGGGAAGACAAGUCUGAUGUGAAAGCCCGGGGCUUAACCUCGGAAGUGCAUUGGAAACUGUUUUUCUUGAGUACUGGAGUGGAAGGGGGAAUUCCCGGUGUAGAGGUGAAAUUCGUAGAGAUCGGGAGGAAUACCAGUGGCGAAGGCGCCCUUCUGGACGGUUACUGACGCUGAGACGCGAAAGCGUGGGGAGCAAACAGGAUUAGAUACCCUGGUAGUCCACGCUGUAAACGAUGAGCACUAGGUGUAGCGGGUACUCAUUCCUGCUGUGCCGCAGCUAACGCGUUAAGUGCUCCGCCUGGGGACUACGGUCGCAAGACUAAAACUCAAGGAAUUGACGGGGGCCCGCACAGCGGUGGAGUAUGUGGUUUAAUUCG